Molecule: ribosomal RNA, 513 nt
Filed under: uncultured bacterium
Lineage: Bacteria
Description: bacterial SSU rRNA
Rfam family: Bacterial small subunit ribosomal RNA
Source: RNAcentral
AGAGUUUGAUCAUGGCUCAGGAUGAACGCUGGCGGCCGUGCCUAACACAUGCAAGUCGAGCGAGAAACUCACGAGUUGAUACUUCGGUUGAAACAUGUGAGCGGAAAGCGGCGGACGGGUGAGUAACGCGUAGGCAACCUGCCCCAUGCAGAGGGAUAGCCUCGGGAAACCGGGAUUAAAACCUCAUAACGCACGGACAAGACAUCUUGAUCGUGCCAAAGAUUUAUCGGCAAGGGAUGGGCCUGCGUCUGAUUAGUUAGUUGGUGAGGUAACGGCUCACCAAGGCGACGAUCAGUAGCCGACCUGAGAGGGUGAUCGGCCACAUUGGAACUGAGACACGGUCCAAACUCCUACGGGAGGCAGCAGUGGGGAAUAUUGCACAAUGGGGGAAACCCUGAAUGCAGCAACGCCGCGUGAAGGAUGAAGGCCCUUGGGUCGUAAACUUCUGUUCUAAGGGAAGAUAGUGACGGUACCUUAGGAGCAAGUCCCGGCUAACUACGUGCCAGCAGCGGC